GUAGGGUCCAAGCGUUAAUCGGAAUUACUGGGCGUAAAGCGUGCGCAGGCGGUUGUGCAAGACCGAUGUGAAAAUCCCCCGGGGCUUUAACCUGGGAAUUGCAUUGGUGACUGCACGGCUAGAGUGUGUCAGAGGGGGGUAGAAUUCCACGUGUAGCAGUGAAAUGCGUAGAGAUGUGGAGGAAUACCGAUGGCGAGGGCAGCCCCCUGGGAUAACACUGACGCUCAUGCACGAAAGCGUGGGGAGCAAACAGGAUUAGAUACCCUGGUAGUCCACGCCCUAAACGAUGUCAACUAGUUGUUGGGGAUUCAUUUCCUUAGUAACGUAGCUAACGCGUGAAGUUGACCGCCUGGGGAGUACGGUCGCAAAGAUUA
Molecule: ribosomal RNA, 374 nt
Filed under: uncultured organism
Description: partial 16S ribosomal RNA
Rfam family: Bacterial small subunit ribosomal RNA
Source: RNAcentral